AUGACUAUUCUGAAUAAAACUUGCCUUAUGUGUUUCGUCUCCUUUGUGAUUUGCCGUUGUGACUCUUUGUCAAUUGUUUCAUGCUUGCUUACUCUAGUUCUCAUUUCAUUCCAAGAGUUUAUAUUAUCAAUAUGCUUAACACUAUCCACAUGUUCUUUCAGUGUCUCAUUAGCAUGCCUCCAAUCACUAAAUCCAUCAUGCCCCAAUGAACUCUUGCACUCAUAAUUGAAAAGCUUACAGCCAAAAAAAAACACUUUAUUGGCGUGUUUUGAAUAA
RNAcentral lists this ribosomal RNA (276 nucleotides) under Triticum aestivum (bread wheat). RNAcentral describes it as "partial small subunit ribosomal RNA". Lineage: Eukaryota; Viridiplantae; Streptophyta; Magnoliopsida; Poales; Poaceae. The record is from RNAcentral.